This is a non-coding RNA of Gautieria morchelliformis, 91 nucleotides long. Lineage: Eukaryota; Fungi; Basidiomycota; Agaricomycetes; Gomphales; Gomphaceae. The record is from the annotation of a GenBank genome assembly.
GGCCUGAUGGUCUAGAGGUAUGAUUCACCCUUAGGGCUUUGCGUAUGCAAACUUAUGGGUGAGGUCCCGGGUUCGAUUCCCGGUUAGGCCC